GACGAACGCUGGCGGCGUGCUUAACACAUGCAAGUCGAACGGUAAGGCCCUUCGGGGUACACGAGUGGCGAACGGGUGAGUAACACGUGGGUGAUCUGCCCUGCACUUCGGGAUAAGCCUGGGAAACUGGGUCUAGUACCGGAUAGGACUCCUGGCUUCCUGGUUGGGGGUGGAAAGCUUUUGCGGUGUGGGAUGGGCCCGCGGCCUAUCAGCUUGUUGGUGGGGUAAUGGCCUACCAAGGCGACGACGGGUAGCCGGCCUGAGAGGGUGACCGGUCACACUGGGACUGAGAUACGGCCCAGACUCCUACGGGAGGCAGCAGUGGGGAAUAUUGCACAAUGGGCGCAAGCCUGAUGCAGCGACGCCGCGUGAGGGAUGACGGCCUUCGGGUUGUAAACCUCUUUCAGCUACGACGAAGCGCAAGUGACGGUAGUAGCAGAAGAAGGACCGGCCAACUACGUGCCAGCCGCCGCAGUAA
RNAcentral lists this ribosomal RNA (478 nucleotides) under uncultured bacterium. RNAcentral's name for it is "partial 16S ribosomal RNA". It matches the Rfam family "Bacterial small subunit ribosomal RNA", at positions 28 to 523 of the family's 1533-position model. The record is from RNAcentral.